This 839-nucleotide long non-coding RNA is filed under the name Citrus maxima (pomelo). RNAcentral describes it as "long non-coding RNA (CMAX_LNC004160)". The record is from RNAcentral. Lineage: Eukaryota; Viridiplantae; Streptophyta; Magnoliopsida; Sapindales; Rutaceae.
UCCGUGGCCGCAUGCGUCCAUAGCUCCACAUAGAUUUUGUUGCUUGUGAACAUUUCAUCCCAUCCAUCAAACCGUGGUCUUACAUCCCGAUGUCUGGGGGUCCCACAUCGCCGGCACCAAGUACUUGCGCCCAUUUAUCCCGUGAGCGUUGUAGCUCGCUCCACUUACCUUAUCCACCAAGACCCGACCCGGAUAUCCCGGAUAAGAACCUGACCCAAACACACCCGUACAUGCCGUGGCCGCCUCAAUCGGCGCCGUUGGCGGGCCUUGGAAAUACCCGUUAUUGAACGGGUUAGUGACGGUGUUGGCCAAAAGGGUAGCUAAAUUGAUAAUCAUUCCAUCAACGCCGACGUCUCCGUUAGGCGCGACUAAUGGCGGGGUUUGAGGGCCGUAAAUGGGCUGGUGGAAAGGCCAGGCACAGUAGCCAGGGCACUGAGUCUCGGAGUUUCCAACCCAGAUAUAGGUUCCACGGCUGGCCAACCCACGACCCGGCAGAGCAGACCCGUGGGUCCCACACCUGUUCAUGCAGAAGCCGUCCACGGCCACAUCCUUCGCCGUCAAAACGACGUUAAUUGACGUAGGGAGAGUGUUCGUUACUUUCUUGGACAAAGCAAGCAAAUGAACCUUCUUCAGUGCUUUGCCAAGGGAGUAGUUUUCCAAGAGGACUUGAUGCCGUACGACGAGGUUAGACGAACCUCCUUUGUAAUUUUCAGUUGUUUUCCACCACGAUGACGUGGAGGGCUGCGGGGCCCUGUUGAAAUUUAGGGAGUGGAUGAAGUCAACUAUUAUCGAGCGUUGGAUGGGAGUGAACUUGCCGUACCAGAUGAGAUUAACGGUGA